UCGUGUUCCUAAUAUGCGUUUUGGGGUUGCAGUGAUGUGUCCGUUGUAUUACUAUCACCAGAAGCACCCUGUCAACUAUCUAUUACUCGCGAUUUUCACCGUCUCUCUUGCCUUUGCGGUUGGCUUGACCUGCGCCUUUACUAGCGGGAAGGUCAUUCUCGAGGCUGUGAUUUUGACCUCUGUUGUGGUGAUAUCUCUUACUCUCUACACUUUCUGGGCUGCCAAGAGA
This is a non-coding RNA of Camelina sativa (false flax), 229 nucleotides long. The record is from RefSeq and is a predicted model, not a curated record. Lineage: Eukaryota; Viridiplantae; Streptophyta; Magnoliopsida; Brassicales; Brassicaceae.